UGGGGAAUCUUGCACAAUGGGGGCAACCCUGAUGCAGCGACGCCGCGUGAGCGAUGAAGCCCUUCGGGGCGUAAAGCUCUUUCGACCGGAACGAUAAUGACGGUACCGGGAGAAGAAGCUGCGGCUAACUACGUGCCAGCAGCCGCGGUAAUACGUAGGCAGCAAGCGUUGUUCGGAGUUACUGGGCGUAAAGAGUGCGUAGGCGGUUUUCUAAGUUCGGUGUGAAAUCUCCCGGCUUAACUGGGAGGGUGCGCCGAAGACUGGGAAGCUGGAGUGUGGGAAAGGCAGGCGGAAUUCCUGGUGUAGCGGUGAAAUGCGUAGAUGUCAGGAGGAACACCGGCGGUGUAGACGGCUUGCUAGACCAUAACUGACGCUGAGGCACGAAAGCGUGGGUAGCAAACA
This 402-nucleotide ribosomal RNA is filed under the name uncultured bacterium. RNAcentral's name for it is "bacterial SSU rRNA". It matches the Rfam family "Bacterial small subunit ribosomal RNA", at positions 355 to 774 of the family's 1533-position model. The record is from RNAcentral.